This 453-nucleotide ribosomal RNA is filed under the name uncultured Anaerolineaceae bacterium. RNAcentral describes it as "bacterial SSU rRNA". It matches the Rfam family "Bacterial small subunit ribosomal RNA", at positions 915 to 1382 of the family's 1533-position model. Lineage: Bacteria; Bacillati; Chloroflexota; Anaerolineae; Anaerolineales; Anaerolineaceae. The record is from RNAcentral.
GGGGACCCGCACAAGCAGCGGAGCGUGUGGUUUAAUUCGUUGCUACACGAAGAACCUUACCUGGGUUUGACAUAUAGGUUGUAGGGAACUGAAAAGGGACCGACCCUUCGGGGAGCCUAUACAGGUGUUGCAUGGCUGUCGUCAGCUCGUGUCGUGAGAUGUUCGGUUAAGUCCGCUAACGAGCGCAACCCUCGUCGUAUGUUAUAUGUGUCAUACGAGACUGCCGGUAAAAGCCGGAGGAAGGUGAGGAUGAUGUCGAGUCAGCAUGACCUUUAUAUCCAGGGCUACACACACGCUACAAUGGUCUGUACAAUGGGUAGCCAAGCCGCGAGGCGGAGCCAAUCCUGAAAGCAGGCCUCAGUUCAGAUUGCAGUCUGCAACUCGACUGCAUGAAGCCGGAGUUGCUAGUAACCGCAGGUCAGCAAUACUGCGGUGAAUACGUUCCCGGGUCUU